Molecule: ribosomal RNA, 1469 nt
Filed under: metagenome
Description: bacterial SSU rRNA
Rfam family: Bacterial small subunit ribosomal RNA
Source: RNAcentral
AGAGUUUGAUCCUGGCUCAGGACGAACGCUGGCGGCACGCUUAACACAUGCAAGUCGAACGAGAGAAGAGGAGCUUGCUUUUCUGAUCUAGUGGCGGACGGGUGAGUAACACGUGAGCAAUCUGCCUUUCAGAGGGGGAUACCGAUUGGAAACGAUCGUUAAUACCGCAUAACAUAAUUGAACCGCAUGAUUUGAUUAUCAAAGAUUUAUCGCUGAAAGAUGAGCUCGCGUCUGAUUAGCUAGUUGGUAAGGUAACGGCUUACCAAGGCGACGAUCAGUAGCCGGACUGAGAGGUUGAUCGGCCACAUUGGGACUGAGACACGGCCCAGACUCCUACGGGAGGCAGCAGUGGGGAAUAUUGCACAAUGGAGGAAACUCUGAUGCAGCGAUGCCGCGUGAGGGAAGAAGGUUUUAGGAUUGUAAACCUCUGUCUUCAGGGACGAAAAAAGACGGUACCUGAGGAGGAAGCUCCGGCUAACUACGCGCCAGCAGCCGCGGUAAUACGUAGGGAGCGAGCGUUGUCCGGAAUUACUGGGUGUAAAGGGAGCGUAGGCGGGAUCGCAAGUCAGAUGUGAAAACUAUGGGCUUAACCCAUAAACUGCAUUUGAAACUGUGGUUCUUGAGUGAAGUAGAGGUAGCGGAAUUCCUAGUGUAGCGGUGAAAUGCGUAGAUAUUAGGAGGAACAUCAGUGGCGAAGGCGGCUUACUGGGCUUUAACUGACGCUGAGGCUCGAAAGCGUGGGGAGCAAACAGGAUUAGAUACCCUGGUAGUCCACGCCGUAAACGAUGAUUACUAGGUGUGGGGGGACUGACCCCUUCCGUGCCGCAGCAAACGCAAUAAGUAAUCCACCUGGGGAGUACGACCGCAAGGUUGAAACUCAAAGGAAUUGACGGGGGCCCGCACAAGCAGUGGAGUAUGUGGAUUAAUUCGAAGCAACGCGAAGAACCUUACCAGGUCUUGACAUCGUAUGCAUAGCUCAGAGAUGAGUGAAAUCUCUUCGGAGACAUAUAGACAGGUGGUGCAUGGUUGUCGUCAGCUCGUGUCGUGAGAUGUUGGGUUAAGUCCCGCAACGAGCGCAACCCUUACUGUUAGUUGCUACGCAAGAGCACUCUAGCAGGACUGCCGUUGACAAAACGGAGGAAGGUGGGGAUGACGUCAAAUCAUCAUGCCCCUUAUGACCUGGGCCUCACACGUACUACAAUGGCUGUCAACAGAGGGAAGCAAAGCCGCGAGGUGGAGCGAACCCCUAAAAGCAGUCUUAGUUCGGAUUGUAGGCUGCAACCCGCCUACAUGAAGUCGGAAUUGCUAGUAAUCGCAGAUCAGCAUGCUGCGGUGAAUACGUUCCCGGGCCUUGUACACACCGCCCGUCACGCCAUGGGAGUCGGUAACACCCGAAGCCUGUAGUCUAACCGCAAGGAGGACGCAGUCGAAGGUGGGAUUGAUGACUGGGGUAAAGUCGUAACAAGGUA